GGGAGGCUUUGAAGCGGGGGCGCCAGUUCCCGUGGAGCCAUCCUUGAAAUACCACCCUGGUUUGUUUGAGGUUCUAACCUUGGUCCGUUAUCCGGAUCGGGGACAGUGCAUGGUAGGCAGUUUGACUGGGGCGGUCUCCUCCCAAAGAGUAACGGAGGAGCACGAAGGUUGGCUAAUCCUGGUCGGACAUCAGGAUGUUAGUGCAAUGGCAUA
RNAcentral lists this ribosomal RNA (213 nucleotides) under Stephanopyxis turris. RNAcentral's name for it is "partial Bacterial large subunit ribosomal RNA". It matches the Rfam family "Bacterial large subunit ribosomal RNA", at positions 2149 to 2361 of the family's 2925-position model. The record is from RNAcentral. Lineage: Eukaryota; Bacillariophyta; Melosirophyceae; Stephanopyxales; Stephanopyxidaceae.